UACGUAGGGUGCAAGCGUUGCCCGGAUUUAUUGGGCGUAAAGGGCGCGUAGGCGGCUCGGCACGUCCGUUGUGAAAUCGCCCGGCUCAACUGGGCGGGGUCAGCGGAUACGGUCGAGCUUGAGCAAGCUAGGGGGCAAUGGAAUUCCCGGUGUAGUGGUGGAAUGCGUAGAUAUCGGGAGGAACACCAGUGGCGAAGGCGGGUCUCUGGGCCGAUACUGACGCUGAGGAGCGAAAGCGUGGGGAGCGAACAGG
RNAcentral lists this ribosomal RNA (253 nucleotides) under uncultured bacterium. RNAcentral's name for it is "partial 16S ribosomal RNA". It matches the Rfam family "Bacterial small subunit ribosomal RNA", at positions 524 to 776 of the family's 1533-position model. The record is from RNAcentral.